This is a long non-coding RNA of Cebus imitator (Panamanian white-faced capuchin), 2708 nucleotides long. Lineage: Eukaryota; Metazoa; Chordata; Mammalia; Primates; Cebidae. The record is from Ensembl.
UGGUUAUCUAAGCUGUAAUAAGUAGCCUUGGGACCCCUGAAGGCACACCCCACACACUUAUGCUGUGUGACCUAAGGUCACAAGUAAUGGCUGCAAGCUAAUUGAUUGAGAAAGGGUUGUCUGGCGGGGCCUCUUUGCGUCCUCCCUUUGCAUUCCUAAGUUCUGUGAGAGAGGCACUAGUAGCUCAGCCUAGCAAGGAAGGAAAAAAGAGGAAGUUUUUCUCUGCGUUCUGAUUACACUCUGAAUUCCCUUGUAGUGAGCUUACUUCUCUCCACCCACUUCUUACCAAGAACUCCUUAACUUGAGGGUGAACAACUUAAAGCUUGAUCCUACAGAGUUACCUGAAAAGUGAUUUGAGUAUUCAUUGAACUGAAAGAACAAAUCGCCUACUUCAGGCGGUGGGAAGCGUAUGGAAAUUAUAUUAGAACUUCAGCAAAGUGCACAGCUGCAUAAUAGAGAAGCCGGCACUCAGAUUGACAGGCAAAUAAGCCAGCUUGUGGAAGGGGCCUCUGGGUGGCAGCUCUGGGCUUUUGGGUGUUGGACAACCAUAGGCAAAACUGAAAUGGAACAGGGGCAGAAAAUAGCACACUUUUACUCUACGCAACUGUUGCUUUUUCAUGAUCUUCCUGAAUUUUCCUGGGAUAAUUUUCCAAAGAGAAUUCCAAGCAUUCUAUUCAAAUGGUUAUUGAUUAUUAAAAUGGCACUGAAAUGAGAUAGCUCCAAAAUAACAGUAAGUCUUAAUUACUUGAAAGACAUAUUAUUUUAAUAUUGCACUGUAACAUGCCAUACCAUAUUUGGUGAUUUUUUUCACUGUUCUAGUUUUGUAUGCUCCUAUAGAGCAGAGAAUGAGUAGCACCCCUAGAACUCAAAGUAUAUUUUUAUGUGAAGCUGAAAUGUUUUUAACUUGACUCUGCCAGUUAAUAAUUUUUGGAUUUGGCAAGCUUCAGUAUAGCCCUAUUUUGAGAAAAGCCAACAAAAGUAUUUCUCUUCUAAUUCAGUGUUCUUUUUCCUUUAAAGAGAUUUUUGUAUGUAAAUGCUUAUAAAUUCAUUGUUAUUAUAGUAACACUAAUAUAUUCUGUUUCUUUCUACUGUGCCAAAAAUAAUUAACAUUUAUGGCAGGUUUAAACUUUUGUCAGUCAGAAGAUCUAGUUAUUAAAAUAAAUGAAAUAGGUAUAACAAUACACCUUCUUUAUUGAAGCCAGAUUAUCUCUGCAAGCAAUACACACUUACAUCAGAUGUUAUGUAUAGUACCAUUGCUAUCUCAAAGCCAUGCAUCCUAAUAUGUUUAUUAUUUAUAAUAAAAAUUUUAAAUCAGUCAUAUAUUUUCUUCUGAAAUGUGUACAGAGCAUAUGCAAUGGAUUGGUGGAAAUACUGUACUAUUUCUCAUUACUUAUUAGAAUAUUUAAAAUACUGGUUUUGGCUAAAUGACUAAUCAGUAUUUUAGUGGAACAGGUUCACAACCUUUCCUGAAAGUAAAAUAUACAUUUUAAUGUAACAUUUCUUACCCAAAGACAGUUGACAUAGUAGUAAACUUAAUAAUUGCCUCCAGAAUAAAACACAGAAAAACAAUGUUAAAUUAAAAACAACUGGUGAAUUUGAAUAUACAUAUAUGUAUGUGUAUAUGUUAAUAUGUGCAUAUUACACACAGAGUUUGUACAGGAUUAUAAUAUACCAUUAUAUAUUUUAUACAUGUAAUUGUAUAUUGCAGACAUAUAUAUUUAAGUAAAUUAUAUAAGUAUAUGUAAGUAAAUUACGUAAGUACAUAUUAUGUAAACGUAAUUAUAUAGAUAUAUGAUUAUGAAGGCAAUAGAUUCUAAAACUCAAAACAGACACAUAUAAAGAGAAAGUUACUAAUUAUUUCCUCCUCUUAUCCUGAGGCAGCCAAUGUCAGAAUGUGGUGUGUGUUUCUCUACCUCGCUCAUGAGCUUCUCCAGACUCAGAAAGCACAGCAAAUUUGUACAUCUCUUUUGUUAGAUGUGGUUUUGUUUAUGUGGCUUGUUUUGAUAGAGAAACUCAAACACAUUGCUCUUCUUCUUGUUUUUUAUAGAUAUCCUUUUAAAUUAAUGUACAGAAUAUUCCAUAUUAAGGCUCAUUAUUUUUAAUUUAAGGAAAUAAAAGUCUGGAUAUUCAUUGUCUGUCUUCUAUCAUAGCCAUAGUAAAAAGAACCAAUAUUAUCAUGGACUGCAAAUCUCAGUGAUAUUUUAACUUCAGACUUGAUAAUUACAUGAAAAUGACCUGAUGUCUAUGAGAAAAUAGGAAACUAAGAUUUACAAAGUCAAUUGCAGUUUGGUAGACUGUGUUCUUUUACCAAUCUAUUUGUUAUCUAGAGCUAUCGAUCUCCAAAAAUAUCUGAUCCCCAUGGCAGAAUAUAUGCUGCUUCACUAUGAUGUAAUGUUUGUACUUUUCAGUCACCAUAUUUGGUGACAAAAAUCACAUUUAUGAAACCAUAGGUCAGUAGAAAGGAAUGAGUUAGGGAGUAGAUUUGCUAAGCUUCUACCAAUCCUAUAAAGGUGGAUGCAGGAUUUUCUUUAAGACUGGAUAUAAUGAAGAGAGGAAAAAUAAGUUAAGCCAUGGAUUAAUCCAAGUGAGUACAAUUCAAGGAAAAUAAACAUGAUACAGUCAUAUAUAAGAAUAAAUAAGACUCCUUGAUAUAAAUAUUAUUUUGUUUAGAAUGGCACAGGUCAUCAGAAAGCUAUAUAUAUGUAUUA